RNAcentral lists this small RNA (72 nucleotides) under Polaribacter sp. KT25b. Its description in RNAcentral is "Flavo-1 RNA". It matches the Rfam family "Flavo-1 RNA". Lineage: Bacteria; Pseudomonadati; Bacteroidota; Flavobacteriia; Flavobacteriales; Flavobacteriaceae. The record is from Rfam by way of RNAcentral.
ACUUAGCCCAGAUUGAAACGGCAUCCUUUUUGCUUUUUCAGCAAAAAGAUAUAGUUGAAAGCUGGAAAUAGC